AACGACGAUUGCUUUUUCCUUUCUUUUUCACUGUUUUUUCCCUUCAGCGUUUUUCUCAGAAUUAGCUUCGUAGUUGAUUUGGUGGGAGCUGAAUUGAAUUUCUCCAUGCCUGCUGAACGAGUGAGUCGUUGCUUGGCGCUCUGCGGAUUGAUUAUUCCCGUGAAGGCCGCGCAUAAAGUGGUAGAGGACUGCAAUUGCAAAUGCAUCUUCUGGGUUUCAAAUAUCCAGGAUCGAAUUUGAAUAUGGCUCUCUCCAUAUGAUUCGAGCCCGAGUCCAUAAGCAGGAUACAUCCAACGGCUGGCUUAGGACACGUUUAAAUGGAACAAUUCCAGUGAUACACGUUGAAUCCACUCUACUCUCCCAUACCGUUCAAUGGAAUAUCCCUCACGACGCACGCAAGAUUAGUUAAUCAAACUGAUAGUAGUUAUGUCCCUCCUGACAAGGUUUUUAACAUCGAAGACACCGUCUUAAAAUAUCUACUUGGUCCUGCAUGAAUGCGCAGAGCUUUAUACCCAUCUACGACUUGAUUGUCAAGUUGCUCGAACCGGUUAAAUACCUUUGCCAAUACAUAUUGCUUCCCUGACUAUCCCAUCAUGGGCAAACCUUUGCACAUGAAAUGCCCUCAGCUGAUUUAUCUGAGGUUGGGGGGUAUGCCCGCAAGGAAAACCUCGUAAUAGACUGGGCAGGAAGCGCUGGAUUUCAGCCACCAGCAGUGCUUAAUCAACAAGCCAGCAGA
RNAcentral lists this small RNA (736 nucleotides) under Histoplasma capsulatum. RNAcentral describes it as "hypothetical RNA". Lineage: Eukaryota; Fungi; Ascomycota; Eurotiomycetes; Onygenales; Ajellomycetaceae. RNAcentral also lists the same sequence under 1 other name. The record is from RNAcentral.